GAUGAACGCUAGCGGCAGGCUUAAUACAUGCAAGUCGAACGGUAAGUUUGGUAGCAAUAUCAAACCAAGAGUGACGUACGGGUGCGUAACACGUAUGCAACCUACCUUGUACAGGAGUAUAGCUCGGGGAAACUCGAAUUAACCCUCCAUGAGAUCACAGUGUGGCAUCACACAGUGAUUAAAACUCAGGUGGUACAAGAUGGGCAUGCGUCUGAUUAGAGUUGGCGGGGUAAUGGCCCACCAAGACGAUGAUCAGUAGGGGACCUGAGAGGGUGA
Molecule: ribosomal RNA, 276 nt
Filed under: uncultured bacterium
Lineage: Bacteria
Description: partial 16S ribosomal RNA
Rfam family: Bacterial small subunit ribosomal RNA
Source: RNAcentral